RNAcentral lists this long non-coding RNA (1561 nucleotides) under Homo sapiens (human). RNAcentral describes it as "HSALNT0344079". The record is from RNAcentral. Lineage: Eukaryota; Metazoa; Chordata; Mammalia; Primates; Hominidae.
CGACGGCCGAGGUGGCCGUUGGCGCACGUGGGGCAUUUCGCUUGGAAAGGCUCAGCAGCCUGUGUGGCGUCUGCGGUGGCAGCCUCCAUUAGAGGAAAUGUCUCUUCUCCCAGUCAGGAGUUAACCACCUGCUGUAACUUCCUCUUUAGCAUCGCCAGAGGAAACUAAGUAUGACUGUGCCUUCACUCUGCAGAAAGAAAAUGAGUGGCAAAGGAGUUGCGAAGGGAUUCCUGAGCCUUUAUGCCAGCUGGAAGCUUAAGGCCUUGGUAUUUGAGACUUCACCCUUCAAAAUGUCUUGGAGGAUGGCCCAGCAACCAGCCAAAUGGCCCAAUGGCCUAGCCCAGUGGAGACGGUCUCAGCUUUUGACAAGCUAGCCGGAGAAAGGGCUGGACAGGAAGGGGCCCACUGGACAGCGAAUAUUGAUAGGGCCCCUGGGAGGAUCAAUUUUCCCCUCCAACAGUGCCUGGCUCCCAUUAUCAGAUUAGAUGCAAAGUGGGCUGGCAUGCCAGGGGGUGACAGGAACAGUGUCUCCAGAAAUCCUCUGUGAAGACACCCAAGUAUUGUUCAGAAGUGGCCCUGUAUCUGGAAGAGGGAAAACUGCACCCACUUCUUGCAGACAUACAGUUCCAGCUCCCCCCACAGGACUUGCUCAUACAUCCAACAAAUAUUUAAUCAGUGCCCACCAUCUGCCACUGUGCCAGGUGCCCGGCCUCAUCAUGAGUCAGGCAGAGGUGGUCUGUGCAGUUUUCCCACAAUGUGAGAGGGUGCUGAGAAGACUUUUAACGCUUAUUUAACUACGGAAAUAACUCUUGGUUUGGUACCUACUACAAAAUAAAAACAAGCGCUUGUUGAUAAUUUCUGGAUGGAUGACUGUGGAAAGCUGGAGGAGACUGAGGAUCAAUUUGCUCUAAUGAACCUUCCCUUGACUAUCAUCUCCGUUACCUCCUGCCGCAUCCCUACGGCAAAUAUGCAAGACUCUCACGCAGCUAAUUUCCAGGGGUUUGCAGUCUGGGGAGGAAGCAGAAAGCACAUCCCUCACUGACCCUGAGGAGGGGCAAAUCUCUGGUAGCAGUCACAGGUACGUGCUGUACACACUUCCCAUCCUUUGAGCCUUCCCAGCUGGAGAGCACCAAGAGAACGCAGUUGGGGAGGCCCCGAAAGAUGAAGGGUUGUUGAGCUUGAAGGCAGUGAAAAAGUAAAUGGAAGAAAGCUCUCUGCCCUCCACUGCCUAAAUGCAGGAUAUAGAUUUAGAAGGAUAAAAGGGGUCUGCUCCCUCUCUCGACCAGGGAAAAGUUAACCACUGAAGACAACUUUAGACUCUUAUGGGCCUGGAGCUGGAACCAGAGGAAUGGACAUGAAGGCGCUUUACUAACUCUAUUUAUCUGCCAGUUACUUACCUUUCUACAAGUUCUCCCCUUAGACACUCAAAGUUCUUUUCCUUUGUCCUGUCGCUUCCCUAAAACUUGGCUUUUCUUUGUUGAAGAUGCUAUACAAGCUGGAAUUCAAAGCUACCACUUUGAGAACUACUCAAUUCCUGCGUGUCUCCCAGGCAGAUGUGAAA